This is a ribosomal RNA of Nomascus leucogenys (northern white-cheeked gibbon), 126 nucleotides long. NCBI's taxonomy places the organism in Eukaryota, Metazoa, Chordata, Mammalia, Primates, Hylobatidae. The record is from Ensembl.
AUCUAUGGCUAUACCACCCUGAACGUGCCCAAUCUCGUCUGAUCUCAGAAGCUAAGCAGGGUCGGGCCUGGUUAGUACUUGGAUGGAAAAAGAUUCUCAUCUCUUCAAUUCUGGAACUUAUAUUUU